This 253-nucleotide ribosomal RNA is filed under the name uncultured bacterium. RNAcentral's name for it is "partial 16S ribosomal RNA". It matches the Rfam family "Bacterial small subunit ribosomal RNA", at positions 524 to 776 of the family's 1533-position model. The record is from RNAcentral.
UACAGAGGGUGCGAGCGUUGUCCGGAAUUACUGGGCGUAAAGAGCUCGUAGGUGGUUUGUCGCGUUGUUCGUGAAAACUCACAGCUCAACUGUGGGCGUGCGGGCGAUACGGGCAGACUUGAGUACUGCAGGGGAGACUGGAAUUCCUGGUGUAGCGGUGGAAUGCGCAGAUAUCAGGAGGAACACCGGUGGCGAAGGCGGGUCUCUGGGCAGUAACUGACGCUGAGGAGCGAAAGCGUGGGGAGCGAACAGG